GGGGGUGUAUUUGGUUUCGACAAUUGUUUAGAAGUAUAAAUAGCGAGUAGUGGAUUCUCGUUGGCCACUUAAAUAAACGGGAAAAUAAAUAUAAACGCUGAUAAAACAGAAUUAGCAUACGCUGCCUAAUUGCGGCGUCGUCUUAUAAUAAUUGCCCACGGUUAUUAAUAAGGCGUCAAAUUAGUGGGAAACGAAGCUAUUUUUUGCUAUGAAAAUAGUGGGUAUUUUAUAGCUACUUUAAUAUAAUGUUUGUUUGUUAAUGCUAUAUUAGAGGAAUUUUAAUAACAAACUGCACUCGGAGAAGUUUAUAUGGAAGAGCUAUUGGACAGGAGUUCGACUCUCCUCACCUCCACCA
Molecule: transfer-messenger RNA, 355 nt
Filed under: Clostridia
Lineage: Bacteria; Bacillati; Bacillota
Also listed under: 3 other names
Description: CAG-492 sp900557045 Standard tmRNA
Rfam family: transfer-messenger RNA
About the family: Bacterial tmRNA, also known as 10Sa RNA or SsrA, is named for its dual tRNA and mRNA-like properties. Its role is to liberate the mRNA from a stalled ribosome.
Source: RNAcentral